RNAcentral lists this unclassified non-coding RNA (263 nucleotides) under Melitaea cinxia (Glanville fritillary). Its description in RNAcentral is "misc RNA ENSMCXG00005014444.1". Lineage: Eukaryota; Metazoa; Arthropoda; Insecta; Lepidoptera; Nymphalidae. The record is from RNAcentral.
AAAAAUAGGGGUUGGUGGUAGUAAGGUGAAAAUUUAGGGUUCUAUGUAUUUUUCAACGUCAAAUAGAAACUCUUAAAAUAAAAAAUAUAUGAUUCAUCUAAAAAAAAAAAAAAAAAUAGGGUUGGACUACCCUUAACAUUUAAGGGGAUGAAAAAUAGAUGUUGUUCGAUUCUCAGACCUAUUCAAUAUGCACACAAAAUUUCAUGAGAAUCGCCGUUUCGGAGGAGUUUAACUACAAACACCGCGACACGAGAAUUUUAUAU